Molecule: long non-coding RNA, 985 nt
Filed under: Mus pahari (shrew mouse)
Lineage: Eukaryota; Metazoa; Chordata; Mammalia; Rodentia; Muridae
Description: predicted gene 29016 (MGP_PahariEiJ_G0005931.1)
Source: RNAcentral
ACGAAGUUUCUAACUAGUGCCAAGCUCUCGCUCACAGACACACCAGAGGAAUCAGACUCCGGUCCCCAAACUGCUGGCUCGGCAAGUGCUUUUUCCCCCCCGCAAGCCCUCUCACUAGCCCAAGUCCUAACUUUUGUCUACACUCGGAGCUGCUGGCUUACUCUCAGCUGGAAACUUCGGAGACCUUUCUGGUAUCAGGAAAAGAAAGCUAGCUUUGGGGCCAGAGAUUCACAACCCAGGUCCCUUUCCUCCACUCUACAAAUAAAUUCCUUGGUGACAAAGCUUGUGCUCAGGGAUCAGGCCACCACCCUCGGGGUUAUUUUUCCAAACCCAGUGAUGCUUAUAAACACAUCCCUGGGUGUUAGUGCCUCAAUCCUGUGAUGUUUGCUGAGAUUCACAUUUCCAGAGGAGAAAACAGAGGUGGCUAGUUGUCUUGGCUGGUCACAGGAUCAAACACGUGAUCCUUCUGCCCCAGCCUCCUGUGUGAGGGGUCAGACCCAACUUCAAGUAACUUUUUAAAGGAAGCUUUUUGGAAAAUCAAGACAAUUGUUUUGAAAUAUACUGAAAGGAGAACUGAAGUUUCCUCAUGAAUGGAGAGCGGAUAAUCACCACAGCAACCACUAAAUAGCAAACAAAGCCAGGGACAGGGCCAAGAUGCAGGCCAGCAGGCAGGACUAUCACCAGCUCUGUGAGCACGCAUGCAGAUGCCAUAUCAGGACUUCAGCAUCUUCUGUUAGCUCUCCACCCAAUUGCCUUGAGGGAGAACCUGUUGACCAAACUAAAAGCUCUCUAUUCAGCUAUUCUGGCCAGCCAGUCAUCUCUUAGGAUCCACCUGCCCCCACCCCACAGUGUUGGAGAUAUAGGUAGGGAAGCCAUGACUGGCUAUAAAUAAAUAAUAAAGUAAAUUAAAAAUAAAAUGGGUGCUGGGGAUUUGAACUCUGGUCCUUAUGUUUUCAGACCAGAUACUCUUACCAUUGAGCCAUUU